RNAcentral lists this non-coding RNA (19 nucleotides) under Mus musculus (house mouse). The record is from RNAcentral. Lineage: Eukaryota; Metazoa; Chordata; Mammalia; Rodentia; Muridae.
UGAACUAUAUAAUAAUGAG